This 216-nucleotide ribosomal RNA is filed under the name uncultured bacterium. RNAcentral's name for it is "partial 16S ribosomal RNA". It matches the Rfam family "Bacterial small subunit ribosomal RNA", at positions 524 to 738 of the family's 1533-position model. The record is from RNAcentral.
UACAGAGGGGGCAAGCGUUGUUCGGAAUUACUGGGCGUAAAGGGCGCGUAGGCGGCCUGUUAAGUCGAACGUGAAAUCCCCCGGGCUCAACCCGGGAACUGCGUCCGAUACUGGCAGGCUUGAAUUCGGGAGAGGGAUGCGGAAUUCCAGGUGUAGCGGUGAAAUGCGUAGAUAUCUGGAGGAACACCGGUGGCGAAGGCGGCAUCCUGGACCGAG